This 410-nucleotide ribosomal RNA is filed under the name Rahnella sp. OOR129. RNAcentral describes it as "bacterial SSU rRNA". It matches the Rfam family "Bacterial small subunit ribosomal RNA", at positions 988 to 1393 of the family's 1533-position model. The record is from RNAcentral. Lineage: Bacteria; Pseudomonadati; Pseudomonadota; Gammaproteobacteria; Enterobacterales; Yersiniaceae.
ACGGGGGAAAUUUGGCAAGAAGAUGGCUUAGUGCCUUCGGGAACCGUGAGACAGGUGCUGCAUGGCUGUCGUCAGCUCGUGUUGUGAAAUGUUGGGUUAAGUCCCGCAACGAGCGCAACCCUUAUCCUUUGUUGCCAGCACGUAAUGGUGGGAACUCAAAGGAGACUGCCGGUGAUAAACCGGAGGAAGGUGGGGAUGACGUCAAGUCAUCAUGGCCCUUACGAGUAGGGCUACACACGUGCUACAAUGGCAUAUACAAAGAGAAGCGAACUCGCGAGAGCAAGCGGACCUCAUAAAGUAUGUCGUAGUCCGGAUUGGAGUCUGCAACUCGACUCCAUGAAGUCGGAAUCGCUAGUAAUCGUAGAUCAGAAUGCUACGGUGAAUACGUUCCCGGGUCUUGUACACACCGA